GACGAACGCUGGCGGCGUGCUUAACACAUGCAAGUCGAACGGAAAGGCCAUGCCUUUGUGGGGUGCUCGAGUGGCGAACGGGUGAGUAACACGUGAGUAACCUGCCCUUGACUUUGGGAUAACUUCAGGAAACUGGGGCUAAUACCGGAUAGGAGCUACUGCUGCAUGGGGGGGGUUGGAAAGUUUCGGCGGUGGGGGAUGGACUCGCGGCUUAUCAGCUUGUUGGUGGGGUAGUGGCUUACCAAGGCCUUGACGGGUAGCCGGCCUGAGAGGGUGACCGGCCACAUUGGGACUGAGAUACGGCCCAGACUCCUACGGGAGGCAGCAGUGGGGAAUAUUGCACAAUGGGCGGAAGCCUGAUGCAGCGACGCCGCGUGCGGGAUGACGGCCUUCGGGUUGUAAACCGCUUUCGCCAGUGACGAAGCGAGAGUGGCGGUAAUGGGUAAAGAAGCACCGGCUAACUACGUG
This 468-nucleotide ribosomal RNA is filed under the name uncultured bacterium. RNAcentral's name for it is "partial 16S ribosomal RNA". It matches the Rfam family "Bacterial small subunit ribosomal RNA", at positions 28 to 507 of the family's 1533-position model. The record is from RNAcentral.